CAGAAGGUGCAAGCGUUACUCGGAAUUACUGGGCGUAAAGCGUCUGCAGGUGUCCUGCCACGUCUGAUGCUAAAUGUCGGGGCUCAACCCCGUCCUUGCGUCGGAAACGAGUGGGAUCGAGUCAGUCAGAGGCAUCUGGAAUGUCGUGUGUAGGGGUAAAAUCCGUAGAUACACGAUGGAACGCCGAAAGCGAAGGCAGGAUGCUAGGACUGCACUGACACUCAGAGACGAAAGCGUGGGGAGCAAAGGGGAUUAGAUACCCCCGUAGUCCACGCCCUAAACGAUGCGUGCUCGGUGUGGGACUUUUCAAUCAAGUCCCGUGCCUCAGCUUACGCGGUAAGCACGCCGCCUGGGAAGUACGGCCGCAAGGCUA
Molecule: ribosomal RNA, 373 nt
Filed under: uncultured organism
Description: bacterial SSU rRNA
Rfam family: Bacterial small subunit ribosomal RNA
Source: RNAcentral